UUCGGUGUGGUGUAAUUGGUAGCACGAGAGGUUCUGAUCCUCUUAGUCAAGGUUCGAGUCCUUGCACCGAAACCA
This 75-nucleotide transfer RNA is filed under the name Planctomycetota bacterium. RNAcentral's name for it is "tRNA-Gln". It matches the Rfam family "tRNA". From Rfam's summary of the family: Transfer RNA (tRNA) molecules are approximately 80 nucleotides in length. Lineage: Bacteria; Pseudomonadati; Planctomycetota. The record is from RNAcentral.